This 253-nucleotide ribosomal RNA is filed under the name uncultured bacterium. Its description in RNAcentral is "partial 16S ribosomal RNA". It matches the Rfam family "Bacterial small subunit ribosomal RNA", at positions 524 to 776 of the family's 1533-position model. The record is from RNAcentral.
UACGUAGGGCGCAAGCGUUGUCCGGAAUUGUUGGGCGUAAAGAGCUCGUAGGCGGUCUGUUGCGUCCGCUGUGAAAUCCCAGGGCUUAACCCUGGGCUGGCAGUGGAUACGGGCAGACUAGAGGUAGGUAGGGGAGAAUGGAAUUCCCGGUGUAGCGGUGAAAUGCGCAGAUAUCGGGAGGAACACCGGUGGCGAAGGCGGUUCUCUGGGCCUUACCUGACGCUGAGGAGCGAAAGCGUGGGGAGCGAACAGG